GGAGAUGACACAGGGUGGGCGAUCUGAUCCCUGCAUCUGUCUCCGGAGCCUGUGCCCUCAAUGAGGACACUGAACAAGCAGCCCCCUUCAAUUUCCAGGUUUCCUGGGUGCUCAUUUACCCCACCUUGCCGGGAGAAAAGCCUCCAUUCAUUCUCCUGAGGUCAGAGAAAAACGUGUGCUUUAUAAAGGAAACCUGGAUUAGUAAACAUUUAAGGUGCUGGACCACAGCUCCGAUUGGAUCAUCUAUAGGGAGUCGUCCUGGUACCUGCCAGUCCUCCAUCCUGCGGCCCUAAUUGAAUGUUCAGC
Suricata suricatta (meerkat) is the source of this 306-nucleotide long non-coding RNA. RefSeq lists it as uncharacterized. The record is from RefSeq and is a predicted model, not a curated record. The transcript is spliced from 3 exons. Lineage: Eukaryota; Metazoa; Chordata; Mammalia; Carnivora; Herpestidae.